UGGGAGACUCAUUCAGCUCCUAAUAAUCAGGGAACUGAGAAGUGCCACAGGCCUGUCUUUUGAAAGGAGCUCUGAAUCCAUUAAGAGACUCUGCUAUGCUUUUGCAUCACUUAAAUUUUUGGGAUCCAGCUUCUAUUGGGGAACAUCUUUAUGAUGAGCAAAGAGUGGCUCAGAGAAGCCUUUCCCAUGGUCACCCAGCUGCAGGUGCUCAUUUGGUUGCUCUCCCCUGGAUGGUCUCCAGCUGGUCAAUGUCCUUCCUAAAAUGUGGCACCCAGGACUGAACACAUACUCUGGGUAUGAUCUCACCAGAGUUAGGUACAUUGGGUCAAUCACCUCUUUAGUUUAGAUACUGUGACUUUCUUAAUGCAACAAUAUUAUAAAAAUAAACUGGAAUUUCUGAUCAU
Molecule: long non-coding RNA, 404 nt
Organism: Antechinus flavipes (yellow-footed antechinus)
Lineage: Eukaryota; Metazoa; Chordata; Mammalia; Dasyuromorphia; Dasyuridae
Exons: 3
Source: RefSeq, a predicted model, not a curated record